RNAcentral lists this transfer RNA (73 nucleotides) under Phycisphaerales bacterium. Its description in RNAcentral is "tRNA-Gly". It matches the Rfam family "tRNA". From Rfam's summary of the family: Transfer RNA (tRNA) molecules are approximately 80 nucleotides in length. Their secondary structure includes four short double-helical elements and three loops (D, anti-codon, and T loops). RNAcentral also lists the same sequence under 1 other name. The record is from RNAcentral. Lineage: Bacteria; Pseudomonadati; Planctomycetota; Phycisphaerae; Phycisphaerales.
GCGGGCGUAACUCAGUUGGUAGAGUGUCAGCUUCCCAAGCUGAAUGUCGUCGGUUCGAGCCCGAUCGCCCGCU